GUAUUCAACAUAUUUAUUCUAAGGAAAAUUCUAUACGUACAUAAUGCUAUCCAGAAUGUUUUACCUAAUGUUGAUGUGUUGAUAAUUUGAAUUCAAAAAAACGUUCAAUAUGGUCAAAAUAUCUUCCACAUGGUAAAAAUCAUUUGAAAACAAAUCACAAUCUCUCUCUUUCAGUCUCUCGCUCUCUCUCUAAAACAAUAGUAAAAAUCAUUUCAAACCAAAAUCACCAUAUUCACAAUCUCUCUCUCUCUUUCAGACGCUCUCUCUAAAAUGGUUCGAAUCUCUCUCUCUACAACCCUAAUUUAGUUUUCGGCGGCGAAGAGGUCCGUCAAAUAGCCGGUUAAAAUCUUGAACGAACAAGUCGAGGAGAGCGGUGAAGACGACGGCAUCACACUUUCAAAUCUUCGGCGGCGAAGAGCUCCUUCAGGUUACGAUUUUCAAAUCUGACCUCCAUUUUAGGAGUUAUUUUCAUUGUUCUAUUACUGACUGCAGUAUUUGUGAUCUUCUCAAAUAUAGAACCAUGGGACCUUUAUAUGUUCACUAUAUGUCGGAUUUAGCUCUCGUUUGACCCCCAUUACCUGAAAAUGAAAAUGGGGGGAAUAAUAUUUUUUAGAAAAAUGAGUGGUUGAAAAAGAAGAAAAUUUUUUCGAUUUACGUAUAAUAUUAUUUCAUGGAAGAUUGUGUAGUUAAAAAUAGGAGAAUGAAAAAUAAAAUGUGAUGUAAUUGAAUUUAAUGGGGAUCAAACGAGGGCUAGUUAGCCCGAGGGUGCAUUUGAGAAAAUUUUUCCUUUUAUAUAUAGACACAAAUUAAAAUUCUAGAAAUUGAAGGAUUUAUGUAAUACCUAUUUUGUAUAUGUACAAUUUGCCCAGAUACAUCGCUGCAAUUUUUGUCUUGGUGCUGCAAUUUCGGACUUAUGUAGAUAUAAUUUGUGGUUAAUUAGGUUGGAACAAUAUGUAGCUACAAUUUUUAAAUAUAUGCACAAUUUGAAGGAAAUUGUAGGGUUUAUAUAAAAGUCCAAUUCACAGGAAAUAUCAGUGUCCGGGACUGCACAUGUUUUUGGUUGAGUUUCACACCAACCUGCUUGUUAGAUUUAUUCCUUUGUUUUGUUCGUGCUUUCAAUUUCUGAACAAGUGGGUUUUUUUUUUCUUUUUGGAUUAGGAUUGUUCCAUGGCCAAAAAGAACAGAGGAAUAUGUCAUACACAGAUGAAUAUGUCAUUCUUGUAGGGUGGCAAGACAAUAAAGGGAUGUUGUUCCAUUGUUGCACCCGCGAUUGUAGGCUUUUCAAGUUUUCUAACACUCCGCUCUACAAAGAGUAUCCAUUGCAAGGUGAAUCAAGUGGCACUACCAACGGAAGUGAAACGAUCGAUGAUUUGUUCCGUAUGUUGAGAACGUGUGCAAAAAUAACCGAGGAGAGAAACGUGGAGAUUUCAUUCAACUUAUUGUACUUAAAAUUCCUGUGAUGGUGGUCAUAGAAGCAAAUUUUUUGUUAAGAUGUCUUGAUCUAGAACGGUUUGUGUUGUAUGUAGUGAACUAUUACAAGCGUUCUCAAUCAAGUUUUUCAUAAUUUCUAUGGAUACACCCAAUUAUGCAAUUUUAAAAUUCAUGGCCUUGCUGCGGUUUCUCCUUGAACCUGUUGUACAAGUGAUAUUGCAGAUUCAGCAA
This 1662-nucleotide long non-coding RNA is filed under the name Olea europaea subsp. europaea. The record is from RNAcentral. Lineage: Eukaryota; Viridiplantae; Streptophyta; Magnoliopsida; Lamiales; Oleaceae.